This is a small nuclear RNA of Ictalurus punctatus (channel catfish), 105 nucleotides long. Its record names the gene U2. It matches the Rfam family "U2 spliceosomal RNA". From Rfam's summary of the family: U2 is a small nuclear RNA (snRNA) component of the spliceosome (involved in pre-mRNA splicing). Complementary binding between U2 snRNA (in an area lying towards the 5' end but 3' to hairpin I) and the branchpoint sequence (BPS) of the intron results the bulging out of an unpaired adenosine, on the BPS, which initiates a nucleophilic attack at the intronic 5' splice site, thus starting the first of two transesterification reactions that mediate splicing. The record is from Ensembl. NCBI's taxonomy places the organism in Eukaryota, Metazoa, Chordata, Actinopteri, Siluriformes, Ictaluridae.
AUCGCUUCUCGGCCUUUUGGCUAAGAUCAAGUGUAGUAUCUGUUCUUAUCAGUUUUAAUACCUGAUACGUCGAGGACUUUAUAUAGCUUUUGGCUAAGAUCAAUC